Salvia miltiorrhiza (redroot sage) is the source of this 966-nucleotide long non-coding RNA. RefSeq lists it as uncharacterized. The record is from RefSeq and is a predicted model, not a curated record. The transcript has 2 exons. NCBI's taxonomy places the organism in Eukaryota, Viridiplantae, Streptophyta, Magnoliopsida, Lamiales, Lamiaceae.
ACGCACACCUUUCUCACUCUCUCCCUCUCGGUCUGCCUCUCUCGUCUCUCUCACUCUCACUCGGCUGAGGUCGGCGCCGCCUCCGGCGCGCCGCCUCGCCGUCGUCUCGUCCCCUCUCUUUUCACUCCCUCGGUCUCCUCUUCCCUCUCUCUCGCUGGUACAGUCGCCUCCGCCUCCUUCGCGUGCCACUACCGCCUCCGCCGUGGCCAAGCACGGCGCCGCCUGAUCUUCCUCCUUCGGCUCCUGCUCGGAAAAGUGCGCGGGUAGCCUCCUCUCCAUCCCCUCAUCUGGAACAGGGCAUCUGCCCUCUCCGCCAUAGGGAGCGCACGGCCGCCGUCUGGUCGCCUCCUCCGUCGUCCGUCUGGCUGGAGUCGCGGUGGAGGCCGAGCCUUGCCUCGCCGGGAAGGAACAGCUCGUUGCUCCCGCCGCCGUGUCGCCGCUGCCGAUGCCGCCGCGUCGUCGUCACUGGAGAAGAUGAGUCCUCCCUUCUCUCUCUCUCUCUUCCCUUUUUUUUAAAACUGAAAUCCUAACCAUCUCUCUUUCUACCCUCUUCUCUCUCGUUUUUGGCAGGACAAGGGCUAGGCGGCUGUGCCGCCGCCGUUGCCGGCGUCGAGCAGCUACCGGCUGCUCAUACCCUUCUCACUAUUCCCGGUUACACACUCAAGACAGAGACACAAAAAGGCCCAAUUUCAGUCCAGAUUCACAAGUAUAGCAAAGCUAGGGUUUUGUUUAGAAAUCUGUUCUUUCAUCAUUCAUUUAUCAUUUUCUUAGCAAAAUCAAACCUUGUAAAUGUAAUAGCUUAGAAAAUAUAUUAACAUGUGUGCGUGCGUAUUCUUCUGUUCUUUGAUGCUUGAAUCGAAAUUAACAAGACAGAGUGGAGAGGAAUUGGAGUAACCUUGAUAUGAGUAGGAAAUGAGGAAAAUCUUCUUUCUGAAUUCACCAAAAUUGGAUCUGCGAAUUUAUUCA